CAUUAUUGAAAUAAACCUGAUGGGUUGCUGCUGGCUCUCUAGGGAGCAUGUGCACACUUGUCAUCUUUAUAUCUCCACCUGUGCACCUUUUGUAGAUCUGGAUAUCUUUCUGAAUGCCUGGCAUUCAGGUUUGAGGAUUGACUUUUGUCUUUCCUUACAUUUCCAGGCCUAUGUUUUCUUCAUAUACACCAUUUAUGUUAUAGAAUGUAAUGAAAAGGGCCUUUGUGCCUACAAACCUUAUACAACUUUCAGCAACGGAUCUCUUGGCUCUCGCAUCGAUGAAGAACGCAGCGAAAUGCGAUAAGUAAUGUGAAUUGCAGAAUUCAGUGAAUCAUCGAAUCUUUGAACGCACCUUGCGCUCCUUGGUAUUCCGAGGAGCAUGCCUGUUUGAGUGUCAUUAAUAUAUCAACCUCCUCAGGUUUUGACUUGUCGAGUGUUUGGAUGUGGGGGUCUUUUGCUGGUCUCUUUUGAGGUCGGCUCCCCUAAAAUGCAUUAGCGGAACAAUUUGUUGACCCGUUCAUUGGUGUGAUAACUAUCUACGCUUUUGUCGUGAAACAGGUUCAGCUUCUAACAGUCCAUUGACUUGGACAAAUUUUCAUUAAUGUG
This 606-nucleotide ribosomal RNA is filed under the name uncultured fungus. RNAcentral's name for it is "eukaryotic LSU rRNA". The stretch from base 244 to 397 matches the Rfam family "5.8S ribosomal RNA". The record is from RNAcentral. Lineage: Eukaryota; Fungi.